GGGGAUUUGCCAUGGGCGAAGCCUGAUCCAGCCUGCCGCGUGUGUGAAGAAGGUCUUCGGAUUGUAAAGCACUUUAAGUUGGGAGGAAGGGCAGUAACCUAAUACGUUGCUGUCUUGACGUUACCGACAGAAUAAGCACCGGCUAACUCUGUGCCAGCAGCCGCNGGUAAUAAACU
This 176-nucleotide ribosomal RNA is filed under the name uncultured bacterium. RNAcentral's name for it is "partial 16S ribosomal RNA". It matches the Rfam family "Bacterial small subunit ribosomal RNA", at positions 357 to 527 of the family's 1533-position model. The record is from RNAcentral.